Molecule: ribosomal RNA, 253 nt
Filed under: uncultured prokaryote
Description: partial 16S ribosomal RNA
Rfam family: Bacterial small subunit ribosomal RNA
Source: RNAcentral
ACGGAGGGUGCGAGCGUUGUCCGGAAUCACUGGGCGUAAAGGGCGCGUAGGCGGCUUCUUAAGCGGGUGGUGAAAGCUCGGGGCUCAACCCCGAGUCGGCCAUGCGAACUGGGAAGCUCGAGCACUGUAGAGGCAGGCGGAAUUCCGGGUGUAGCGGUGGAAUGCGUAGAGAUCCGGAAGAACACCGGUGGCGAAGGCGGCCUGCUGGGCAGUAGCUGACGCUGAGGCGCGACAGCGUGGGGAGCAAACAGGA